Molecule: ribosomal RNA, 1371 nt
Filed under: uncultured bacterium
Lineage: Bacteria
Description: bacterial SSU rRNA
Rfam family: Bacterial small subunit ribosomal RNA
Source: RNAcentral
AGAGUUUGAUCCUGGCUCAGAACGAACGCUGGCGGCGUGGAUAAGACAUGCAAGUCGAACGAGAGAAUUGCUAGCUUGCUAAUAAUUCUCUAGUGGCGCACGGGUGAGUAACACGUGAGUAACCUGCCCCCGAGAGCGGGAUAGCCCUGGGAAACUGGGAUUAAUACCGCAUAGUAUCGAAAGAUUAAAGCAGCAAUGCGCUUGGGGAUGGGCUCGCGGCCUAUUAGUUAGUUGGUGAGGUAACGGCUCACCAAGGCGAUGACGGGUAGCCGGUCUGAGAGGAUGUCCGGCCACACUGGAACUGAGACACGGUCCAGACACCUACGGGUGGCAGCAGUCGAGAAUCAUUCACAAUGGGGGAAACCCUGAUGGUGUGACGCCGCGUGGGGGAAUGAAGGUCUUCGGAUUGUAAACCCCUGUCAUGUGGGAGCAAAUUAAAAAGAUAGUACCACAAGAGGAAGAGACGGCUAACUCUGUGCCAGCAGCCGCGGUAAUACAGAGGUCUCAAGCGUUGUUCGGAAUCACUGGGCGUAAAGCGUGCGUAGGCUGUUUCGUAAGUCGUGUGUGAAAGGCGCGGGCUCAACCCGCGGACGGCACAUGAUACUGCGAGACUAGAGUAAUGGAGGGGGAACCGGAAUUCUCGGUGUAGCAGUGAAAUGCGUAGAUAUCGAGAGGAACACUCGUGGCGAAGGCGGGUUCCUGGACAUUAACUGACGCUGAGGCACGAAGGCCAGGGGAGCGAAAGGGAUUAGAUACCCCUGUAGUCCUGGCAGUAAACGGUGCACCCUUGGUGUGCGGGGAAUCGACCCCCUGCGUGCCGGAAGCUAACGCGUUAAGCGUGCGGCGUGGGGAGUACGGUCACAAGAUUAAAAGUCAAAGAAAUUGACGGGGACCCGCACAAGCGGUGGAGUAUGUGGCUUAAUUCGAUGCAACGUGAAGAACCUUAUCUGGACUUGACAUGUAAUGAACAACAUGUGAAAGCAUGCGAUUUUUCGGAGGCGUUACACAGGUGCUGCAUGGCGGUCGUCAGCUCGUGUCGUGAGAUGUUUGGUAAAGUCCAGCAACGAGCGCAACCCCUGUUGCCAGUUACCAGCACGUGAAGGUGGGGACUCUGGCGAGACUGCCCAGAUUAACUGGGAGGAAGGUGGGGACGACGUCAGGUCAGUAUGGCCCUUAUGCCCAGGGCUGCACACGUACUACAAUGCCCAGUACAGAGGGGGCCGAAGCCGCGAGGCGGAGGAAAUCCUGAAAACUGGGCCCAGUUCGGACUGUAGGCUGCAACCCGCCUACACGAAGCCGGAAUCGCUAGUAAUGGCGCAUCAGCUACGGCGCCGUGAAUAAGUUCCCGGGUCUUGCACACACCGCCCGUCA